RNAcentral lists this ribosomal RNA (458 nucleotides) under uncultured Gaiellales bacterium. RNAcentral's name for it is "bacterial SSU rRNA". It matches the Rfam family "Bacterial small subunit ribosomal RNA", at positions 341 to 792 of the family's 1533-position model. The record is from RNAcentral. Lineage: Bacteria; Bacillati; Actinomycetota; Thermoleophilia; Gaiellales.
ACGGGAGGCAGCAGUGGGGAAUCUUGCCCAAUGGGCGAAAGCCUGAGGCAGCGACGCCGCGUGAGGGAGGAAGGCCUUCGGGUUGUAAACCUCUUUCAGGAGGGACGAAGCUACUCGGGUGAAUAGCCCAGAGGGUGACGGUACCUCCAGAAGAAGCCCCGGCUAACUACGUGCCAGCAGCCGCGGUAAUACGUAGGGGGCAAGCGUUGUCCGGAUUUACUGGGCGUAAAGCGCGUGUAGGCGGCCACGCAGGUCCGUUGUGAAAACUGGAGGCUUAACCUCCAGACGUCGACGGAAACCGUGUGGCUAGAGUCCGGAAGAGGAGAGUGGAAUUCCUGGUGUAGCGGUGAAAUGCGCAGAUAUCAGGAAGAACACCAAUGGCGAAGGCAGCUCUCUGGGACGGUACUGACGCUGAGACGCGAAAGCGUGGGGAGCGAACAGGAUUAGAUACCCUGGUA